CAGCACCUCAAGUGGUCAGGAUGAUUAUUGGGUCUAAAGCAUCCGUAGCCGGCUCUGUAAGUUUUCGGUUAAAUCUGUAUGCUCAACAUACAGGCUGCCGGGAAUACUGCAGAGCUAGGGAGUGGGAGAGGUAGACGGUACUCGGUAGGAAGGGGUAAAAUCCUUUGAUCUAUUGAUGACCACCUGUGGCGAAGGCGGUCUACCAGAACACGUCCGACGGUGAGGGAUGAAAGCUGGGGGAGCAAACCGGAUUAGAUACCCGAGUAGUCC
Molecule: ribosomal RNA, 270 nt
Filed under: uncultured archaeon
Lineage: Archaea
Description: partial 16S ribosomal RNA
Rfam family: Archaeal small subunit ribosomal RNA
Source: RNAcentral